GUAGGUGGCAAGCGUUGUCCGGAAUUAUUGGGCGUAAAGCGCGCGCAGGCGGUUUUUUAAGUCUGAUGUGAAAGCCCACGGCUCAACCGUGGAGGGUCAUUGGAAACUGGAGAACUUGAGUACAGAAGAGGAAAGCGGAAUUCCACGUGUAGCGGUGAAAUGCGUAGAGAUGUGGAGGAACACCAGUGGCGAAGGCGGCUUUCUGGUCUGUAACUGACGCUGAGGCGCGAAAGCGUGGGGAGCAAACAGGGAUUAGGUACCCUGGUAGUCCACGCCGUAAACGAUGAGUGCUAAGUGUUAGGGGGUUUCCCGCCCCUUAGUGCUGCAGCUAACGCAUUAAGCACUCCGCCUGGGGAUACGGCCGCAAGGCUG
This 372-nucleotide ribosomal RNA is filed under the name uncultured organism. RNAcentral describes it as "partial 16S ribosomal RNA". It matches the Rfam family "Bacterial small subunit ribosomal RNA", at positions 527 to 896 of the family's 1533-position model. The record is from RNAcentral.